This 429-nucleotide ribosomal RNA is filed under the name bacterium. RNAcentral describes it as "partial 16S ribosomal RNA". It matches the Rfam family "Bacterial small subunit ribosomal RNA", at positions 355 to 776 of the family's 1533-position model. The record is from RNAcentral.
UAGGGAAUCUUCGGCAAUGGGGGUAACCCUGACCGAGCAACGCCGCGUGAGUGAAGAAGGUUUUCGGAUCGUAAAGCUCUGUUGUAAGAGAAGAACGUGUGUGAGAGUGGAAAGUUCACACAGUGACGGUAACUUACCAGAAAGGGACGGCUAACUACGUGCCAGCAGCCGCGGUAAUACGUAGGUCCCGAGCGUUGUCCGGAUUUAUUGGGCGUAAAGCGAGCGCAGGCGGUUUAAUAAGUCUGAAGUUAAAGGCAGUGGCUUAACCAUUGUUCGCUUUGGAAACUGUUAAACUUGAGUGCAGAAGGGGAGAGUGGAAUUCCAUGUGUAGCGGUGAAAUGCGUAGAUAUAUGGAGGAACACCGGUGGCGAAAGCGGCUCUCUGGUCUGUAACUGACGCUGAGGCUCGAAAGCGUGGGGAGCAAACAGG